Molecule: ribosomal RNA, 143 nt
Filed under: Haemophilus influenzae
Lineage: Bacteria; Pseudomonadati; Pseudomonadota; Gammaproteobacteria; Pasteurellales; Pasteurellaceae
Description: partial 16S ribosomal RNA
Rfam family: Bacterial small subunit ribosomal RNA
Source: RNAcentral
ACACCAUGGGAGUGGGUUGUACCAGAAGUAGAUAGCUUAACCUUUUGGAGGGCGUUUACCACGGUAUGAUUCAUGACUGGGGUGAAGUCGUAACAAGGUAACCGUAGGGGAACCUGCGGUUGGAUCACCUCCUUACUGAAGAC